This 549-nucleotide ribosomal RNA is filed under the name uncultured Glomeromycotina. RNAcentral describes it as "SSU rRNA". It matches the Rfam family "Eukaryotic small subunit ribosomal RNA", at positions 548 to 1098 of the family's 1831-position model. The record is from RNAcentral. Lineage: Eukaryota; Fungi; Glomeromycota.
UUGGAGGGCAAGUCUGGUGCCAGCAGCCGCGGUAAUUCCAGCUCCAAUAGCGUAUAUUAAAGUUGUUGCAGUUAAAAAGCUCGUAGUUGAAUUUCGGGAUCAAUUUGCUGGUCGUGCCUUCGGUACGCACUGGUAUUAUUGGUUUCUCCUUUCUGAUGAAUCGCGAUGUCAUUAAUUUGGUGUCGUGGGGAAUCAGGACUGUUACUUUGAAAAAAUUAGAGUGUUUAAAGCAGGCUCACGCUUGAAUACAUUAGCAUGGAAUAAUGAAAUAGGACGUUUGAUUCUAUUUUGUUGGUUUCUAGGAUCGACGUAAUGAUUAAUAGGGAUAGUUGGGGGCAUUAGUAUUUAAUUGUUAGAGGUGAAAUUCUUGGAUUUAUUGAAGACUAACUACUGCGAAAGCAUUUGCCAAGGAUGUUUUCAUUAAUCAAGAACGAAAGUUAGGGGAUCGAAGACGAUCAGAUACCGUCGUAGUCUUAACCAUAAACUAUGCCGACUAGGGAUCGGAUGAUGUUAAUUUUUUAAUGACUCAUUCGGCGCCUUACGGGAAAC